RNAcentral lists this ribosomal RNA (28 nucleotides) under Dictyostelium mucoroides. RNAcentral's name for it is "partial 28S ribosomal RNA". The record is from RNAcentral. Lineage: Eukaryota; Evosea; Eumycetozoa; Dictyosteliales; Dictyosteliaceae. RNAcentral also lists the same sequence under 1 other name.
GUUGCCUCACCUUGGUAAGACUACCCGC